Long non-coding RNA from Zea mays, 504 nucleotides. RefSeq lists it as uncharacterized. NCBI's taxonomy places the organism in Eukaryota, Viridiplantae, Streptophyta, Magnoliopsida, Poales, Poaceae. The transcript has 2 exons. The record is from RefSeq and is a predicted model, not a curated record.
CUGCAGGAGCGAACCAGGAAGCGGAUGCACCUGACCUGCGGAAGCUGUACAUGGCCCGUGUAAAAGGAGCGAGGGCCCGGUAACCCAUGCCACGUUCCAAGCACCAAGGCAUGCCGGCGGCGGCGGCGGCGGCACGGAUACAUCGGCGCCUGAGAUCCUCGCCGGCAUGGACUACAACUACAGGCUGGAUGCUCGUCGCCACCGCCCGAUCAACAACGGCGCUCCGCUGGUUGAGCUCGCCGCCGGGACACCCUAGGACCCCCCUGAGGCUGACUAGAUAGUAGUACGUCUGAGUCUGACCACGCAGUAGCCAUCAGCAGAUGGUGGCUAGCAUAGCUGCAUAGGUAGCUAGGAACACCCUCUCCACGCUACACGGAGCCCGUGCCUGGCACUCAUGGAACAAUCUGAGAUCAGUGUACUGGGCGAUUUUGGUUGUACAAUGUGCUAGCAUAGUAGCAUGGUGAGAAUACAGGAGCUGCUGUUGCACACUUUUGCGGGCCUAAA